This 566-nucleotide ribosomal RNA is filed under the name uncultured bacterium. RNAcentral describes it as "partial 16S ribosomal RNA". The record is from RNAcentral.
ACAGCAACUGCUGGAGCCGGAAAAGUAUUGCCGAAAACAGGCGAAGAGAGCCGUCUGCUGCUUCAAUUGCUUGGUGUUGGACUCAUCGUUCUUGGUGCUUGGCUCUUUAGAAGAACACGCACCACACGCAACAUGUAAUAGAUUAUAAAUACGGUUAAGCAUGAGCCUGCUGAUUCUUUUCAGCAGGCUUUUCCUAUGUCCAGUGAUUGAUGAAGUGCUCAGACUUAAGUCCAAUAGGAAACCAAUCCUCGGACAGUGUUAGCACUUGAUCUUUUUCGAUAAACUCAAUGUUGUCAGCUCGGAGGAACAAGGAUGGAGAGAGGCUACGAGGUGAAGACAUUGGGCAAGAAACAUGAGAUCAUCCAAUCUGAAAGCCAUAUUUAUGUGCUGCUGACCGAAACAGGUACCUUGUUCGGAAGACUGAUCAAACAAUUUACCUAUGCACCCUAUAAUCAUGCCACACUGGCACUGGACAUUGAACUGAACGACUUGUACAGCUUUGGUCGCAAGCAGGCGACGAAUCCCUGGAACGCAGGCUUUGUCCGGGAGGAUGUCUACGAAGGCGC